GAAUCCCAGGGUUCAGGCCACAAAUCCACAGAGGCGCAGUGAGCUUGCGGGGCUUAAAAACUACUCCCUGCCGGACCCUUAGGGGGCGAGGGGGCAGGCUGUGCUGAGGUCUGUGAAUAAAUAGCUGCCACCUCCACGACUUUCUCUGCUGACUGAAGGGAGAGGCCCCUGACUAGACAUGAAGAACGUGAGAGUCCCCCAGCCCUAAUGUCCCAAGGGGCCCAGAACCUUCCAGCAGAGAGGGCUGGACAGGGUUGUCAUCUUGUCACAGCCAGGUCCCAGAGGGGUACUUACCACUGGCCAGGACCAUGGGGGCCAGCAGGCUGCAGAGGAAGACCAGCACCAACUCCAUGGCGUCUGGGGACAGAGGGAGGAAAAAAUGAUUCUCUGGCUAAGAAGCCUCCAUCCGUCAGCUCCAAGCGUCAGCCUGACCAGGGGCCAAGCCAAAUCCCCAGCUUUGCUCUGCACUCAUGACUUGGUGAGGGUUCAAACAACCUAAGCACAAGCAGUUGACUUUUUUUUUUUUUGAGACAGAGUCUCGCUAUCUUGCCCAGGCUAGAGCGUAGUGGCAUGAUCUCGGCUCACUGCAACCUCCGCCUCCCAGGUUCAAGUGAUUCUUCUGCCUCAGCCUCCUGAGUAGCUGGCAUUAGAGGCGUGUGCCAUCAUGCCCGGCUAAUUUUUUGUAUUUUUAGUAGAGACAGGGUUUCAUCAUGUUGGCCAGGCUGGUCUCGAACUCUUGACCUCAAGUGGUCCAUCUGCCUCAGCCUCCCAAAGGGCUGGGAUUAUAGGCGUGAGCCACCACCAGUUGACAUUUCUUGGACUCUUAGAGAAUGCUCUGCAUGUAUUAAUUCAAUUGGCACAAUUGAGUUAGUACAAUUAGCAAGCACUACAACUAACGCAGGCCGAGAACCUGAAGCUUAAUGAGGCUGACAUGCACCAGAGUGAGUAGCAGGGCCUAGAUCCUAACCCAGCAUGGUAACUCCUCCACCACGUUGCCUCUGGGACGUGACUUUGAAGAUCUCAACUGUGUCCUUCUCUCCAGGCCACCCUUCUGUGGCCAUCCCUAGUUCAUUCUGACAGCCAAUACCCCAUCAGAAAUGUCUCUUAAUAUCAGACUAAAUGGGGCCAGUAAACCAGUGUCCCUCUAGUCUAGCCAGCUGGGUGGAGAGGAGACUUGUGGUUUCCUGGGCCCUGAAGCGCUGACAGCCCUCCUUCAGGUACCCUUUACGUCCCACCUCAAAAGUCCCCAAGUCAGCUCUUCCCACAGGCUUUGGUUCAGAAUCCUCCAGAAAGGUGGUUUGAUUCUACAAAAGGAGUUUGAAGGCUGGUUCCACGAGCCUCAGCACCCCAGCCUCUGCUUCCCCAGAGGAUGCGGAGGUCUCUGCUCAGGAGCUCAUCAGUCCUGGUCUCUGGGUGGAUGGCCCCAGGUGGGCUAUCCUGGUGGAAGCAGGAGGCAGGGCCAAGAGGUGGCACCCAGGGAUAGAUUUCAAUGGCAGGACACACAUCUCACUCCUGGGCUUAAAGGAGCAUGGUUAAGAGCCAGAGAGGAGACAGAGAGGCUUUUCCUGAACCAGGAAAGCCCAAGGCUGGGUGCUGUUUUCCAUGUGGGGUGAAACUGGCAGUGGCCUGAACCCCUGGACAUCCGUCCAGUCCAAGACCCUGAUUGCCCCCAGCACGGUCACUACCUUCCUCCGGCCUUGAGCAAGCAGCCGCCACUGCACUUCACCUCUCGGCCACCAGGGGUCAGAACGACUGCAUCCACAGCCACGUCAAGGCCCAAACCUUGAUUCAAAAAGCCUUUAUCAAAAGGUGGUAAUUUGCUUUCAAUGCUGUCUCAUUUCACACUUGUAUUUCCUUUGAAUGCUACACUGUAUCUUAUAUGUAUAAAAAUAUAUGUAACAUACACAUAUAAUGAGGCAUAGUAAUAAUAGAAACACCCAUAAACCAGCAGCUUAGGAAAUGGAGCUUUACAAAGACUGCUGCAGUGACCUCUAUUUCCCUCCACCCCAUCCCCCUGCCUCUCUCCCAGAGGUGGCCAGUAUCCCAAAAAUAUAUAUUUUUAUUUUUAUUUAUUUAUUUAUUUAUUUUGAGACUGAGUC
RNAcentral lists this long non-coding RNA (2099 nucleotides) under Homo sapiens (human). RNAcentral describes it as "HSALNT0181794". The record is from RNAcentral. Lineage: Eukaryota; Metazoa; Chordata; Mammalia; Primates; Hominidae.